UAGUAUAGGUUUUCUCAAGGGUGGUCGGCAUUCUCCUCCAUUUUAGCGAAGGGAGGUGAUGCUGCAUGACAGUAUAUGAAUCCUUAAUGAUUACAUUUGCUUUCGCGAGUUUGAUCAUAUCCAUUCUGUCAUUUCAUAAAAAAGACUAAAACCGCCCUUGAGAUUGGCCCCUCAUGGCGGUUUUAGUAACUUAGCUAUUUGUGUGUCGAUCCCUCUAAUGGGAACCUGCUAUUGUAUGGCCGUUUUGAUGUUCCAGCAUCGAAACGG
RNAcentral lists this small RNA (267 nucleotides) under Bacillus sp. FJAT-27231. Its description in RNAcentral is "BsrG". It matches the Rfam family "BsrG". Rfam says of the family: bsrE, bsrG and bsrH pair through intermolecular interactions with antisense sRNAs. SR4 interaction with the 3'UTR of bsrG RNA promotes bsrG degradation and inhibits its translation. SR5 also overlaps bsrG from nucleotide 163 to 52 (Rfam overlap check). Lineage: Bacteria; Bacillati; Bacillota; Bacilli; Caryophanales; Bacillaceae. The record is from Rfam by way of RNAcentral.